Molecule: long non-coding RNA, 426 nt
Organism: Zerene cesonia (dogface butterfly)
Lineage: Eukaryota; Metazoa; Arthropoda; Insecta; Lepidoptera; Pieridae
Exons: 3
Source: RefSeq, a predicted model, not a curated record
AAAAAUAUCAGAUCUCAAUCUCAUGUAGAGCCAAGUUUCUAGGUAAAAAUGUAAAGCUUCGCCAUUUCACUACCGCCGUGGAGCACUUCAGGAUACUUCCUGGCUGGCUACUGCCAAUCACUUUAAUGAUCAUCAGUGUGUCAUUGAAUCAGUGAUGAAAUUGGUUUGGUGUAAUCAAAAGUAUUAGAGCUAUUUAAAAAAAAAGCCAAAAUUGAGACUGUAUAGUUUAUUAGUCUGUUAUUGACAUCAUAUCCUGACUAUCUGGUACAUCGGAAACCAAAUCUAUGAGCAUUGAAACACUUUGAGAAAAGCUCUGUAACAUCUACUAACUGCAGCCAGCUUUAGUGGCAAUCUGUCUGAUGAAUGGAUAGUGUUUCUAAAAAGCCCGGCAAGAGACAUUUCCGCUGUGCCUGAGAGAUAUAAAUC